CAUGUAGGCGGCAUGACAAGUCUGGUGUGAAAUAUCUCGGCUUAACCGGGAAAACGCGCUGGAAACUGUCAAGCUAGAGUAUCGGAGGGGAAGCUAGAAUUCCUGGUGUAGGGGUGAAAUCUGUAGAUAUCAGGAAGAAUACCGGUGGCGAAGGCGAGCUUCUGGCCAGAUACUGACGCUGAGAUGCGAAAGCGUGGGGAGCGAACA
This 207-nucleotide ribosomal RNA is filed under the name uncultured bacterium. RNAcentral describes it as "partial 16S ribosomal RNA". It matches the Rfam family "Bacterial small subunit ribosomal RNA", at positions 568 to 774 of the family's 1533-position model. The record is from RNAcentral.